RNAcentral lists this ribosomal RNA (422 nucleotides) under uncultured microorganism. Its description in RNAcentral is "bacterial SSU rRNA". It matches the Rfam family "Archaeal small subunit ribosomal RNA", at positions 330 to 745 of the family's 1478-position model. The record is from RNAcentral.
GCGCAGCAGUCGCGAAUCCUUUACAAUGCACGAAAGUGCGAUAAGGGGAUCCCAAGUGCCAAUACUCUGUAUUGGCUUUUGCUGAGAGUAAAAAUCUCGGCGAAUAAGUGAUGGGUAAGACUGGUGCCAGCCGCCGGCGGUAACACCAGGCGUCACGAGUGGCGCCCACGUUUUAUUGGGGUCUAAAAGGCGCCCGUUAGCCGGGGUCUGUAAGUCCUCUGUGAAAUCGUUAGGCCUAACCUAACGGAUAGCAGAGGAGACUGCCGACCUAGAGACCGGGAGGAGCCAGAGGUAUUUCCAGGGUAGCGGUAAAAUGCGGUAAUCCUGGGAGGACCACCUGUGGCGAAGGCGUCUGGCUAGAACGGGACUGACGGUGAGGGACGAAGGCUAGGGGAGCGAUCCGGAUUAGAUACCCGUGUAGU